UGGCCUACGGGCGGCUGCAGUGGGGAAUCUUGCACAAUGGGGGAAACCCUGAUGCAGCGACGCCGCGUGAGCGAUGAAGCCCCUCGGGGUGUAAAGCUCUUUCGGCAGGAACGAUAAUGACGGUACCUGCAGAAGAAGCUGCGGCUAACUACGUGCCAGCAGCCGCGGUAAUACGUAGGCAGCGAGCGUUGUUCGGAGUUACUGGGCGUAAAGAGUGUGUAGGCGGUUUGCCAAGUUCGGUGUGAAAUCUCCCGGCUUAACUGGGAGGGUGCGCCGAAUACUGGCAGGCUAGAGUGCGGGAGAGGAGAGCGGAAUUCCUGGUGUAGCGGUGAAAUGCGUAGAUAUCAGGAGGAACACCUGCGGUGUAGACGGCUCUCUGGACCGUUUCUGACGCUGAGACACGAAAGCGUGGGUAGCAAACAGGAUUAGAUACCCUAGUAGUC
This 443-nucleotide ribosomal RNA is filed under the name uncultured bacterium. RNAcentral describes it as "bacterial SSU rRNA". It matches the Rfam family "Bacterial small subunit ribosomal RNA", at positions 335 to 795 of the family's 1533-position model. The record is from RNAcentral.